Long non-coding RNA from Corvus hawaiiensis (hawaiian crow), 2227 nucleotides. RefSeq lists it as uncharacterized. The record is from RefSeq and is a predicted model, not a curated record. NCBI's taxonomy places the organism in Eukaryota, Metazoa, Chordata, Aves, Passeriformes, Corvidae. The transcript has 2 exons.
CAUAAUGAAUUGUAUAAGGGCAGGUAGAAAGAGAUCCUUGUUUGAUGAGCUGAAUGAAAUCACUGAAGCCAUGUCUCCAGACACCAUCUGAAGACCUAGCCCAUAGGAUCCCUCAUCUGAAAUGGUGUAAGACACCAGUUAUGAAUCCCAAGAUCUUUGGAUCAGACCCAUGCUGCAGAUGCAUCAUUCUUCCAUCUGAGGUGUAAUUUCACAUGUCAUUGUCAGAGCUAUCAGAAGAGCCUCAGGCAAAGUUGGGAAAGAACAUCUACAUCUGGACAGAGACCUUGAGAUGUAAGCAGGACAACGAUUUUAAGAAGACUACAAUGAUUUUUCUUGGUCUAAAAAUCAAAAUAAAUAUAUUUCUUUAUUUUUAACUCUUAACAGCCAUCUUGGCUAGAAAAUGUAAAACUUUUUCCCAUUAAUUAAUCCAGCUGGAGAACUUCUGCAUCAGCUGUACCCUACCUAAGUUCUAUUAGGUUAAAUGUGGAGUAUUCCUACUUUCCUUUCAUAUAGGAAACGUAUGUAAUCUACAUGCAAACAUCGUUUUUGUAAGAGUCACUGAUCUAAUCUCAGUCGUUUAUAUAAACAUGUUGAACAUGACGUAUCAGAAUGACCCCUUGACUUCUGAGAGGUUUUUCAUCUGUGAACAGUUAUGCAUGUACAGCUCAGACUCCUAGUGGUACUAGGGGAGGGGUGUUCAUUAACUCUCAAGACAAGGGCCGAUAUUCAAUCAAACUAAAUGAAGAGAAUUGCUUGUAAAUCUCAGGCUUUACAUGUUUGGUUAUCCUGUAAAAAAAAAAAUAAACUACCUCUAUAAGCCUGAUAGUUGGAGUAAGCAAUUCGAUUCUUUUUAGGGAUAUAGAGUAAAUGCUGGUAAUAGCCAAGAAAAAGUAAUGUAAGAGCUAUUGUUGCAUACCCAGUCAUCGUUGCUCUCCUAGUAUGCUGUGAACACCUGCAUUUUUCUGUUGUGACUUCAAAUAGAUAAAAGAUGUCAAAAUAAUCUGUCUGGUUUUAUAUAGAAAUGUGAUUUUCAAAUUUUGUUAGCACCUUACAAUAUUUAGCAUGAAAAUAUAAUCCUACUACAUCCUUUAAAUAGGUUAAUUUGAAAAAAUAACAUCUAAAAAAUUCUUUCAGUUGGUGUUGGGGGGAAAAAAUAGUUUCGCUUCUGGUGUCUUCAAAUGCUGCCCAUCUUUCUGUAAUUGUAUAACACUAUCACUAUUCGCUAUUCUGUCUAUUCUUGCAUAGAGAAUUGAAACAUCACUUGAGUUUCCUCUGAGGAUGGAUUAACAAGAUUUGCUGUGACAUGACUUGAUUAAUUAAUGAGACUAGAGUAUUCUUUGGCCCUGGUGUGCUGUUCUUGAACUUCUUAGAUGGGAAAAUUCUAACCUUCAAUAUUUGAGAAGCCAACUGGGUAAAGCAAAACUCUUGUAUGACCUUCACUAAUAAUAAAACUGAAAAUCCAUUAUAGAGGGUACCUGAAUAGCUGUACAUAUUCAAGGUGAUUUUUUUUCAUAUUUGAAGAAUGAAAGUGCGCACGGUUAUAGCAGAGUACAGAAAAAUACGUCACCGACUGUUUAAAAUAUAAUUAGAUGCCUUUCUACUGUUCUUUCAGCAAUCUUCUACACAAAGAAAUAGCUUUUGCAAGUGCUGCACUGCAGAAGUCAUUUCACUCUGUGUACAUACCCCUAAGGAAAUAAGGAAUGUUCUCAAAGGGCAAAUACCUGAUGAAAGCCAGCACAUCCCAUCCGUUGACCCUGCUUUAGAAAUUUCUUGUCCAUGAUUGACUAUCAGGCUACAUAGGGAAGUGUUGAGAGCCAUGUCUGUGAUAUACUUGUGAGAUACACAUUUUAAAGCUACUGGGUCUACCUAUCUCACCAGGAGACUGAAAUUAGUCUAAGACAAUAAAAUUCCUUCCAUUUUACAGCUGACUUAAGGCUAUCAUCAAGCAUAGCUGGCAGAAGUAAUAAGAAUCUGGAUUUAGAGACCUGACAAUGCUGUAAAUUGGAUUAUUUGUGGAGCAUAGUUGGUUUGGUGAUUAAGUCAACAUUUCAGUGGAGUCUCUUGGGAUCUAUAGUUUGCAUAUUGGUGCUAAGGGUGUCAGAUAAUUUUUCACCUUCUGUUUCCUUCCUGCUCCCAUCAAAGAAAUCCUUUGUGAAUCAAAGCUUGUGGAACUUACUUACUAUUUGUGCUCUUAUCAAUAAAUUGAUUUUCAGUAUGUGACUGUAAA